UACGAACUGUGCAAACGUUGUUCGGAAUCACUGGGCUUAAAGGGCGCGUAGGCGGGCUCGCAAGUCCGGGGUGAAAGCCCCCAGCUCAACUGGGGAAGCGCCUUGGAUACUGCGGGCCUCGAGGGAGGUAGGGGCGUGCGGAACUUCCGGUGGAGCGGUGAAAUGCGUAGAUAUCGGAAGGAACACCGGUGGCGAAAGCGGCGCGCUGGACCUCUUCUGACGCUGAGGCGCGAAAGCCAGGGGAGCAAACGGG
RNAcentral lists this ribosomal RNA (253 nucleotides) under uncultured bacterium. RNAcentral's name for it is "partial 16S ribosomal RNA". It matches the Rfam family "Bacterial small subunit ribosomal RNA", at positions 524 to 776 of the family's 1533-position model. The record is from RNAcentral.